This 114-nucleotide ribosomal RNA is filed under the name Erinaceus europaeus (western European hedgehog). Lineage: Eukaryota; Metazoa; Chordata; Mammalia; Eulipotyphla; Erinaceidae. The record is from RNAcentral.
CUCUGUGGCCAUAUCACCCUGAACACACUUGAUCUCAUCUGAUCUGAGAAGCUAAGCAGUGUCAGGCAUGGUUAGUAAUUGGAUAGGAGAAGGGAACUCUGGUUCUCAUUAAUC